UGCGAUACUUGGUGUGAAUUGCAGAAUCCCGUGAACCAUCGAGUUUUUGAACGCAAGUUGCGCCCGAGGCCACCCGGUCGAGGGCACGUCUGCCUGGGCGUCACACAAACGCCACUCCCAUCCCUCGCAGGAGUGCGGAUGAGAGCGAAAGCUGGCCCC
Molecule: ribosomal RNA, 159 nt
Filed under: Paratinospora sagittata
Lineage: Eukaryota; Viridiplantae; Streptophyta; Magnoliopsida; Ranunculales; Menispermaceae
Description: 5.8S ribosomal RNA
Rfam family: 5.8S ribosomal RNA (bases 1-103)
About the family: 5.8S ribosomal RNA (5.8S rRNA) is a component of the large subunit of the eukaryotic ribosome. It is transcribed by RNA polymerase I as part of the 45S precursor that also contains 18S and 28S rRNA. Functionally, it is thought that 5.8S rRNA may be involved in ribosome translocation.
Source: RNAcentral